UGGGGAAUUUUGGACAAUGAGCGAAAGCCUGAUCCAGCCAUGCCGCGUGAGUGAAGAAGGCCUUCGGGUUGUAAAGCUCUUUUAGUCGGAAAGAAAGAGUUGCAAUGAAUAAUUGUGAUUUAUGACGGUACCGACAGAAAAAGCACCGGCUAACUACGUGCCAGCAGCCGCGGUAAUACGUAGGGUGCGAGCGUUAAUCGGAAUUACUGGGCGUAAAGGGUGCGCAGGCGGUCUUGCAAGUCAGAUGUGAAAGCCCCGGGCUUAACCUGGGAAUUGCGUUUGAAACUACAAGGCUAGAGUGCAGCAGAGGGGAGUGGAAUUCCAUGUGUAGCAGUGAAAUGCGUAGAGAUGUGGAAGAACACCGAUGGCGAAGGCAGCUCCCUGGGUUGACACUGACGCUCAUGCACGAAAGCGUGGGGAGCAAACA
Molecule: ribosomal RNA, 427 nt
Filed under: uncultured beta proteobacterium
Lineage: Bacteria; Pseudomonadati; Pseudomonadota; Betaproteobacteria
Description: bacterial SSU rRNA
Rfam family: Bacterial small subunit ribosomal RNA
Source: RNAcentral